GGUAGUGUUGUGCAGUGGUUAGAGUGCUGGACUACGAUUUGGGAGACUAUGGUUCAAAUCCCCACUCUGCCA
This is a non-coding RNA of Podarcis lilfordi (Lilford's wall lizard), 72 nucleotides long. Lineage: Eukaryota; Metazoa; Chordata; Lepidosauria; Squamata; Lacertidae. The record is from the annotation of a GenBank genome assembly.